GACAGAGGCCUCAAGCGUUUAGGCGGAAUCACUGGGCUUAAAGCGUGUGUAGGCGGAUCGUUAAGUGUCUUGUGAAAUCCCACGGCUCACCCGUGGAACUGCUGGGCAUACUGGCGAUCUUGGGCCAACUAGGGGCAACUGGAACAAGCGGUGGAGCGGUGAAAUGCGUAGAUAUCGCUUGGAACGCCAAAGGUGAAAACAGGUUGCUGGGGUUGUGCCGACGCUGAGACACGGAAAAGCCAAGGGGAGCAAAACGGGGAUUAUGAAACCCCUACGUA
Molecule: ribosomal RNA, 278 nt
Filed under: uncultured bacterium
Lineage: Bacteria
Description: partial 16S ribosomal RNA
Rfam family: Bacterial small subunit ribosomal RNA
Source: RNAcentral